AGAUGGAGUAUCCUUAUGUUGCCUAGGCUGGUCUAGAACUCCUGAGGUCAAGUGAUCCUCCAGCCUCAGCCUUCCAAUGUGAUGGGAUUAUAGGUAUGAGCCACUGCACCCUGCCAGGAAAGUUGUUGAAAAAGACUAGCAUGUUGGUGUGUGUUGGCAGCUCCUCAGAUCUUUCAGUAUGGGAUAUAAAGGGGUUGUAAUUGAUUGGUUGGAAAUAAUCAGUGUGCAAACAACAAUGGAAAUGGAAGAGAAUACAUCUUGGUAAUAAAAUCUCUGUCUGUCCAUGGCCUAUAAUAUAAAUUGCAUAAAUUUCUAGUAAUUUGAUAUCUUGCAAUGUUGUAAAAAUCAACUACUUUUAUACUCCAAAUAAUAGGGAAACAAUGAUCAUCUAGAGCCCUUGUCAAGGGUCUCCUAUUGAGAGUCCUUAGACAGUGUGACACAUCUCUAUGGCAAAGAUCAGAUAUAAUAUGUUACAUUUACACAAGUAACAGACUUCUGGCUCUCCUCCAACUCAGGUAUACUCUUCUGCCGAGAGACUGUACUUCUCAGCCUCCCUUGUGGCUAGGUGUGCCAUGUGACUAAGUGCUCAUGAUUGAGAUGUAAGUAAAUGUGAAAUGCAGGACAGCAAUACCCCUUAUUAAAUGUAAUUGCCCAUAAUUCCCUUGUUUUUUACUUUCAUCCCAAAUGAAAAUGGUGAUGACCAGGGCAACACUAAUAGCUGUGUAUCAUGGAUAACAAAGCCAUACCCAAUUUGUUGGGUUCUGGACUGAUUCAUGGAGCAUAGAGUUCCUGGGCUCAUAAUGUAAGCAGAAAACACUCUUCAGUUUUAAUAAGAAAUCUAUAUUGUGGGGCUUAUUAGCUCUAGCAAUGUAGGUUUUACUGUAGCUAAUAAAUAAUUGGUACAUUGGAAGGCUUUCUGCCUGCCACAAAAACCUAAAAAAAAUGUGGAAUAGACACGUAAGUGAGAGUGAAGGCAGUACAUUUAUUUAAAGUGUCACUUCUGGUAACUGGAAGAGCAAACCCCUUGCCUAAAGAGCCUUCAGCUGGAGGAGAGGCUGAUGGAAAGGGCCAGAAUGUUACCAUGUGUUAGCUGUUUAUUGCUGCAUUUAGCUAGCUUAUUUCAGGAAUUAAUGAGCUGAAGGAAGAACAAGACAAUUUCAAGUAGAGUUUGAAGAGAAUAAAGAGUCCAGAAAUGUGGGAUCUGAUGGGGCUGGAAAAGCCACCUUCGUUUAUCACCCUACACAGUAGGAGAUAACCCUGCUGCUCAAAAGAUUUAAUAAAAAAUGUCCAUUAAGAAUUCUCAGCUCAACAAGUGAAUCUAUAGAUCAUCUGUGCAAAAGAUCAGAUAAAGUAUGUUGCUUUCCAAAUAAGUCUAUUAUUUUAUAUGGUUUUAUACUUUCAAGAGCCAUCAUCAAAAUGGUAACAAUUGACACUGGCUUAACAAAGAAGUGAGACCGUAAGAAUAGGUUUCAUAAUUAUUUCCAGAAAAGAGCCUUGGAUGUAGGUUUCCAGCACAAGAAAAUAGCUGUAUGCAGUUAGACCAUAAACUCAUUGAAUCUUCUAAUAAUUUUUUUUUUUUACUAAAGAAAUCAAAUAUUUAGCCUUCAAAAAGUCCCAAGUUCCCAAAUUAGUGGGUGCAGAAGCAGGCUAUGAAAACUGCAGUGCUUCUGACAAAAGAAAUCUCUUUAAUAUUCAUGCAGAUGUGGUGAGGGAGAAUGUAUUACAAGAACAAAUUUUUUCAGAGAGAAAGCCAGGACCGCAGAGGAUAGAGGACAGGAAAUUCUUUUCAAUAAGCAGCGAUCAGUUUUAAGCAAGAAACUUUCUCCACUGGUAGAGCAGAGAGUCUCUGCAAUUUUUGUCCUGCAAAAUUUUAUUGCUCUGAGCAGUGACUGCGUGGUCAUUCUUUUUUUUCUCAAAUGAGACAUUUUAUUGUAAUUUUAAGUAAUAUAUAGUUGCUAUUAAUGAUACGUAGGAAACUUUUGUGAUAGAGAGGACUGUACCCAAAUAUCCUGACAUCUGAACUGUAUACCAUGCCUGAGUGUAACUAUGGCUUGUCUUUCUUGGGAAGUGGGUAGACAUGUUCUAACUUGAGGAAGAAGGGUGUGCAGAUUAUAAAAGAUACUGCUGUCUGUCUUUCUAUUAAUAAUAACUAGCCUUCCUCCAGGGUUUUUUCUGGUCUGUGUCAACUAGGUUUAGAGAUUUCACUACACUUCAGCCAAAGAGAUGUGCACAGAAAUGAGGCAAACAACCUCACAUCGCAUCUUUUCAAAGGAACGCUGCUUGCCCUUUGCUCUAUCUUUUCCCUCUUUUGUCGGAUCUGCUGGACUGUAUUUUUCACGUAUUGUCACAUGAUAAUGUCUCAUUUCUCAUGCUCUUCUUGCAAUUUUAUUGGCAAUCCUCCAAAUAUUUCCUGGAUUCCAAGCUCUCUCUUUAUUAAACUGAAUUGAGACUUGUAACUAAACCGACUGGUAGAGUAUGGUAGAAGUGAUGGAAUAUAAACUCUAAGGCAACUCGUAAAACAUAAUUCUCUUCAAUUUGGCUUUCUUUCUGAGUCAGGAUGUUCACCUUUGGAACCUAGCCACUAUACCGUGAGGAAGUGCAGACCACAUGGAGCCACCAUGUAUAGCUGCUCCAUUCAACAGCCCUUGCUAAGUUCUCAGAAAACAGUCUGUAUCAAUUGUUAAGAUAUGUAAAUAAACAAGCUACUGUAUAGCUCAAGUGUUUCACAAGGCAACGCUGGAAUAAGGAAGGCAGAAAUUUGAACCUGGAUGUCUCUGGAGCAGAGUUCCCUAUCACUUUGGGCUGUUUUCCCUCUUCUUGAACUUUAGGAGUGAGAAAUAAGUGUCUAUCUUAUGAAAACAACUGAAUUUGGGGAUCUCUAAAAUAGUGGUAAGAAAUAAGAUUAAAGCUUUUAUAGCCUGAUUCCUGCUGUCAGAGUUCUGAGAAACAGAACUUUGCCCAUAUCUUACUUUAUACCCCAAUGCCUUGUAAUUAUGAUUUAAUUAAUUAGCAAUUUUUAUUAGAAAUAUAUUCACUUAGAAAAUAUGCUUUGACUUCCCACCAUAUAGCAGAGUCUGGUUCUUGCUGCUGUGAAAAGGAUAAGGAAGAAGCUAUGCAUGAUCUUUGUCCUUGUAUUACUUUCCUAUUGCUGCUGUAACAAAAUGCCACAAACUUUGUGGCUUAAAACAGCACACAUUAAUUCUCUUAGGAAAAAAAUUAGAGUUCUGGAGGUUGGAGUUUAAAAAUCAAAGUGUUGGUUGGAUUGAGUUACUCUUGGAGGCUUGUGGAGUAAUCCAUUUCCUUGCCUUUUCCAG
Molecule: long non-coding RNA, 3314 nt
Filed under: Homo sapiens (human)
Lineage: Eukaryota; Metazoa; Chordata; Mammalia; Primates; Hominidae
Description: HSALNT0086379
Source: RNAcentral